This 264-nucleotide long non-coding RNA is filed under the name Salvia miltiorrhiza (redroot sage). RNAcentral's name for it is "long non-coding RNA (SMIL_LNC002398)". Lineage: Eukaryota; Viridiplantae; Streptophyta; Magnoliopsida; Lamiales; Lamiaceae. The record is from RNAcentral.
AAUUAUAAUCACAUUCCUCCUCUUUUUAUUUACACUUAUAUAUCUAUGAUGUCAAUUAAGUGUUGUAAACUACCGUUGCUCUUAAAUAAAUAGUGCCAAUGGCCAAUAAAUAAUUUGUACCUUGUAAACUACCGUUGCACUUAAAUAAAUAGUGCCAAUGGCCAAUAAAUAAAUUGUACCUUCUCUUGUUAAAUUACUUGGUUUGUGCGUCAAUUUUAUAUUUUUGGCUUCAUAAAUGAAGAGCCAUAAGUUUAGUGUUUGGAU